GAUGAAGAACGUAGCGAAAUGCGAUACGUAAUGUGAAUUGCAGAAUUCAGUGAAUCAUAGAGUCUUUGAACGCACAUUGCGCCCCCUGGUAUUCCGGGGGGCAUGCCUGUCCGAGCGUCAUUGCUGCCCUCAAGCACGGCUUGUGUGUUGGGCCUCCGUCCUCCUCCCGGGGGACGGGCCCGAAAGGCAGCGGCGGCACCGCGUCCGGUCCUCGAGCGUAUGGGGCUUCGUCACCCGCUCUUGUAGGCCCGGCCGGCGCUUGCCGACACAUCAAUCUUUUUUCCAGGUUGACCUCGGAUCAGGUAGGGAUACCCGCUGAACUUAAGCAUAUCAAUAAGCGGAGA
Molecule: unclassified non-coding RNA, 344 nt
Filed under: soil metagenome
Description: partial contains 5.8S ribosomal RNA, internal transcribed spacer 2, and large subunit ribosomal RNA
Rfam family: 5.8S ribosomal RNA (bases 1-120)
Source: RNAcentral